This is a non-coding RNA of Peromyscus maniculatus bairdii (prairie deer mouse), 445 nucleotides long. Lineage: Eukaryota; Metazoa; Chordata; Mammalia; Rodentia; Cricetidae. The record is from RefSeq and is a predicted model, not a curated record.
GACAGAGAUAGGGGGAUCCCUGCGACUCAACCUGCCAGCCUAGCUAGUUCCGAGCCAGGUGAGAGACUCUGUCCCAAAAAAUCAAAAAGGAUAGCAUCCAGAAAGGAAUAUCACCCACGGUUGCUCUCCACAGGCCCAGCUGAACCACUGUCCAGAGUAAUCAGAAUCCCCAAAUUAGACGGAUGGGAAUGGAUGAAAGUAAAUCGGGGAGGCGAUGUCCACCAAUGGUUAUUUAUUAGGAAUAGAAACUGAGCUUUGAACGUCUCUUCGUCCGUGACCCAGAACGAAGCCAGUUCAAGCUGGAGUCGUUCUGAAAGGGUCUGAAUUUCUGGGAGGACACGAAGCAAGCUGACCCACGCCACCUUCCCAGGCUCACAGUCUGACAUGGAGAUAGCACCUUUCCUACAGCUACAGAAAGCCAAUACGAUAACAGCCGAAUUAAAUU